This 29-nucleotide non-coding RNA is filed under the name Homo sapiens (human). The record is from RNAcentral. Lineage: Eukaryota; Metazoa; Chordata; Mammalia; Primates; Hominidae.
CCGAAUCAAAGAUGAUGUGAAUGACCCUG